ACGUAGGGGGCAAGCGUUAUCCGGAUUUACUGGGUGUAAAGGGAGCGUAGACGGUCAAGCAAGUCAGAAGUGAAAGGCUGGGGCUCAACCCCGGGACUGCUUUUGAAACUGUUUGACUAGAGUGCUGGAGAGGUAAGCGGAAUUCCUAGUGUAGCGGUGAAAUGCGUAGAUAUUAGGAGGAACACCAGUGGCGAAGGCGGCUUACUGGACAGUAACUGACGUUGAGGCUCGAAAGCGUGGGGAGCAAACAG
Molecule: ribosomal RNA, 251 nt
Filed under: uncultured bacterium
Lineage: Bacteria
Description: partial 16S ribosomal RNA
Rfam family: Bacterial small subunit ribosomal RNA
Source: RNAcentral